Molecule: RNA transcript, 2954 nt
Organism: Symphalangus syndactylus (siamang)
Lineage: Eukaryota; Metazoa; Chordata; Mammalia; Primates; Hylobatidae
Gene: PLAAT1
Gene name: phospholipase A and acyltransferase 1
Source: RefSeq, a predicted model, not a curated record
UGUGCCCCGCCUCCUGGGCGGAGCGGGCGGCUCCCCCAUGGUCAGAGCCUCGUGCCGGCUCGGCAGCGCCCGGACGCCGGGCCCAGCGCGUCGGCGCCCUGGCGUGCGGGCGUCUCACAGCCGCGGAGGGGCCGCCGGGACCGUUUCAGCGUGGCGGCGCUGGUGCUGGCGUUGGCCCUGGAGGACGGCCCUGAGUGGUGGCUGGCGCCUGCCUUCCGGGUCUCUCCCGGCUACAGAUGGAGUCGUCCCGCGGCCGCCAGCGGCAAGGUCGGCAGCUGCGAGGCCAAGGGAGACCCCAGGACACACGCAGCUGCCUCCCGGUGCGAGAAGAGGACCCCGGCUUGAGAGUGAGAUGGCGUUUAAUGAUUGCUUCAGUUUGAACUACCCUGGCAACCCCUGCCCAGGGGACUUGAUUGAAGUGUUCCGUCCUGGCUAUCAGCACUGGGCCCUGUACUUGGGUGAUGGUUAUGUUAUCAACAUAGCGCCAGUAGAUGGCAUUCCUGCAUCCUUUACAAGCGCCAAGUCUGUAUUCAGCAGUAAGGCCCUGGUGAAAAUGCAGCUCCUGAAGGAUGUUGUGGGAAAUGACACCUACAGAAUAAACAAUAAAUACGAUGAAACAUACCCCCCUCUCCCUGUGGAAGAAAUCAUAAAGCGGUCAGAGUUUGUAAUUGGACAGGAGGUGGCCUAUAACUUACUUGUCAACAACUGUGAACAUUUUGUGACAUUGCUUCGCUAUGGAGAAGGAGUUUCAGAGCAGGCCAACCGAGCGAUAAGUACUGUUGAGUUUGUGACAGCUGCUGUUGGUGUCUUCUCAUUCCUGGGCUUGUUUCCAAAAGGACAAAGAGCAAAAUACUAUUAACAAUUUACCAAACAGAUAUUGAUAUUGAAGGAAUUUGGGAGGAGGAAAAAAAACCUGGGAUAAUACAACUGAAGGACUCAAAGCCGAUAAAUAAAUGGCAGAGCCAGAAUUCAAAGGAGAAUGGACUACCUCUUGGCCUGUGUACCUUUGACAGCCUAACGGUGUCUACUGAGAAAUGUGCCCUGAAUCACAAAUAUGAGACAGGACAUUUUGGAGACUGUGUGUCUCUCUUCAUUUUUAUCUUUUCAAACAGAGAGAAGGCUAAGAUUAAAUCAUUCAUCAAAUAAUGUUAAUAUUUCUAAUUCUCCCAAAGCAAAUUCUACCUGGAAUUCAUUCUUCAAGGAGGACAGAGAAAUGUGGAGACAGUCUUUAUCAAGUUGUGAAAUACAGCAAACUGUAAAGGGUUGUUUGGAUUAAAGGGUUGUUUGGAAAAGCUGGGUCAGAGUCUAGCAGAAAACCUGGCUGUUUUUCUCACGGCUGCCACAACUCUGAUCCAGGAGAACUAACUCUUCUCCAUCCCUUGACCUGGAAGGCACUUGAUUUUGAAUUAUAUGUUUAUUAAUUUUGAGAUGGAAUCUCGCUCUCUCAGGCUGGAGUGCAGUGGCACAAUUUCAGCUCACUGCCACAUUCUCCUGCCUCGGCCUCCCAAGUAGCUGGGAAUAUAGGCAUCUGCCACGACACCCAGCUAAUUUUUCUAUUUUUAGUAGAGACGGGGUUUUACCAUGUUGGCCAGGCUGGUCUCGAACUCCUGACCUCAAGUGAUCCACCCGCCUUGGCCUCCUAGAGUGCUGGGAUUACAGGCAUGAGCCACCAUGCCUGACCCUGGCAUUAUUUACUUAUGCAAUGGUCUUCUCUCCUCGCUUCUAAACUACUUGAGAGCAGUGACCACACCUUAUUCAUCUUUGUAACUCUAGUACCAAACUCACUCUGGAGCUUCGUGUUUGAUAAAUGAAUGACUUGGGUUUUCAUUUCCUAAUUGCUUAUCUCUCCUCUCACAUGUAGUCUUCCUGCCAUCAUCUAAUUAGUCUGUCUUCCAUGCCCUGCUGAGAAGCCUGCUUAGAUAGCUUCAUUCACUCCAUGUUGCUCUUGGCAUAAAGUCUAAACUGCUCUAGCUGCCUCCAUCCAUCCAUGCCUGCCUUUAUUAUUCAUUCUUGUUCAUACUCCACAGCACAUGGCCUCGGUUUUAGCCAGUCUUCUAGUGCUUGGAUAAGCCUUGCUUUUGAUUUCUGUCUCUGCCACCCUACAUUCAUUUGCAUUUCAAAGAUAAAAGCUCUUUCAGUCCUCUCUGCUUCUUAGGCUGUUCUUAUUGGGAAUAUCCCUACUACCUCCUACCUAGCAAAAUGUGGCCUAUCCUUUUGGACCCAGGUCAAGUUGCAUCUCAUCCAUGAAAUGCCUUCCAUGACAGCCACAGUCCACAGUGAGGCCCCCUCCUUCUAUGUUCUCCCCAGUUCUGUCUAUCUUCACACGCUCUUCAAGUAUGGAUAGCCUCAGGUAGCGUUCAAGUAUGUCUUGUCUUCACGACAAAUCUAUGACUCGGAGAUGAGGAGCCAACCUUUCUCUUUCUUUUAUUUCUCUCACAAUAUGGGGUCCAAGAAUUAGUUCAAUAGCCUCUUGAUGAAUUAGAUUUUAACCCAGGGCAUCCUGGAUCAAAUUAUAUCCACCGACAAAAAACUUCAUGUAGUUAAUACCUGACAAAACAUGACUGUCUUGUAAGUCUAUGUUUUCUUUCCCUUUAUAACUACAUUAUAAAGGAUUUCUAUGAUAUGGUUUAUUUUUUUGAAAAUUGUACUUGGAAAAUCAUUGUAUUAUUGCAUUAAUUUUAUUGUAUUGGUAUAACAUAGCAUAAUAAAGUAUCCAAACAUAAUAUUUCAGGUAGGUACAGGAUAAAUGUACCCAAUAAUAUUAAUAAUAUGAAAGCCAUUAGAGGCCAGUAUAGGUGAAAUCCAAGUAUCUUAUUUGCCCUUCUAGUAUAUAGAAAUAGCCUCACAGUAUUUGGUGGUCAAAGAGAGUACAGUAACUUGUGAAUUACAAUGAAUACAUGGUCCAUGUACAUGAGUCAUGCCAGAUGUGCAAAUGAAUGUCACUUACCUCCAUU